Molecule: long non-coding RNA, 768 nt
Organism: Vitis riparia (riverbank grape)
Lineage: Eukaryota; Viridiplantae; Streptophyta; Magnoliopsida; Vitales; Vitaceae
Exons: 3
Source: RefSeq, a predicted model, not a curated record
UGUAGAACAUGAAGUGGAUUUUGAAUAAUUACUCCAUGUAGGUCCACUGCUGUUGUCUCCUUGCUCUUCAUGUAAGGAAUUAAAUACAGAGGUCUUACACAUCUUCCCAGCUCGCAUGAAAGAUAACGUACUAGGGGUAUUAACCUGAUGAAGAACUCCAAGGAGAGUGAGCUCAUCUCCAGGCUUAAGUGAUAAGCCAUCCAGAGCCCAUUUCACAGCACUUGAACUAACUUCCCGUGAUGCAUCCUGGAUUACCACCACCCUCUGAGCUGCUGUGGACAUGAUGGGUCUGUUUGAAGCUUUUGCCACUGGAAUUUAUGUCAGAUUGAAGAGAAAGAUGAAGCCAAGGCAAGACAAUGGACUCGGGCUAUUCUGAUUAAAACAAUGCUCUCUUGGAAGAUUUCUGCAAUCACUAAACUGAUCUGAUACCUGAUGGUGUACCCUCAAGGCUAAGAAAAAUCCUGGCUGCAUAUCCGCAAUCGGACGGUUAUGAGGACUGCUCAUGGCAGCAUUUGUGGCAAUUUUCUCAUGAAAUCAUUACCCUGAUGAUUGGGCUGAGCUAUCUCAAAGAUAUGUUCAGGAAGCAAAUAUUUGGGCUGUUACCUCUUGAAGAAAAAACAGAUGAGUUGGAGGCCUGGCCUUUCAUGAUGGGCCAUGUUGGGGCAUAUUCCUCUUGUAGAUUCCUUCCAUUAAUGGUAACAAGAUAACUUACAUACGAUACUAAUGAUAGUCUAUAAAUAAAUAUUUCAAAAUUUUACAGAUAUUUAA